RNAcentral lists this signal recognition particle RNA (299 nucleotides) under Cebus imitator (Panamanian white-faced capuchin). RNAcentral describes it as "Metazoan signal recognition particle RNA (ENSCCAG00000012700.1)". It matches the Rfam family "Metazoan signal recognition particle RNA". From Rfam's summary of the family: The signal recognition particle (SRP) is a universally conserved ribonucleoprotein. It is involved in the co-translational targeting of proteins to membranes. The eukaryotic SRP consists of a 300-nucleotide 7S RNA and six proteins: SRPs 72, 68, 54, 19, 14, and 9. Lineage: Eukaryota; Metazoa; Chordata; Mammalia; Primates; Cebidae. The record is from RNAcentral.
GCCAGGCACGGUGGCACGUGCCUAUAGUCCCAGCUACUCGAGAGGCUGAGGUGGGAGGAUUGCUUGAGUCCAGGAGUUCUGGGCUGUAGUGCGCUAUGCCGAUCGGGUGUCCGCACUAAGUUCGGCAUCAAUAUGGUGACCUCUCGGGAGCGGGGCACCACCAGGUUGCCUAAGGAGGGGUGAACCGGCCCAGGCCGGAAAUGGAGCAGGUCAAAACUCCGGUGCUGAUCAGUAGUGGGAUCGCGCCUGUAAAUAGCCACUGCGCUCCAGCCUGGGCAACAUAGCAGGACCCUGUCUCU